CCUACGGGAGGCAGCAGUGGGGAAUAUUGCACAAUGGGGGAAACCCUGAUGCAGCGACGCAGCGUGAGUGAAGAAGUAAUUAGUUAUGUAAAGCUCUAUCAGCAGGGAAGAAAAUGAAGGUACCUGAGUAUGAAGCCACGGCUAACUACGUGCAAGCAGCCGCUGUAAUACGCAGGGGGCAAGCGUUAUACGGAUUUACUGGGUGUAAAGGGAGCGUAGAGGGGUGGUCAAGUCUGUAGUGAAAGUCUGGGGCUCAACCUCCGGACUGCUCUGGAAACUGUAAGGCUGGAGUGCAGGAGAGGUAAGUGGAAUUCCUAGUGUAGCGGUGAAAUGCUUAGAUAUUAGGAAGAACACCAAUGGCGAAGGCAGCUUACUAGACUGUAACUGACGUUGAGGCUCGAAAGCGUGGGUAGCAAACAGGAUUAGAUACCCGUGUAGUC
Molecule: ribosomal RNA, 440 nt
Filed under: uncultured bacterium
Lineage: Bacteria
Description: partial 16S ribosomal RNA
Rfam family: Bacterial small subunit ribosomal RNA
Source: RNAcentral